CAACUCUUCUGUAACUGGUGAUCUCUCCUUCCACCAACCCCCAGGAGCAAAGACUGCUGCCCUGUUUUAUCCACCGGCUGCCACUCACUAUGGUGUGUCCCUCCAGGACCUAGCUUCAGACAGGGACCCAGUGGAGUACUGGUGUAUCUGUAUACCAGUGUUCACAGCAGCACACAACAGCCAAAAAGCAGAAACAACCCAAGUAUCCGUCAACAGCAUACAGGAUCUUCAUUCCCCAGCUGGGGAUUGAACCAGCGUCCUCAGCGGUGAAAGCAUAAGGUCUCAACCACUGAACCACCAGGGAAGUCCCCGUGACAAUUGUUUUUUAAAGCUAAUUAACAAUAAUGAGUGGCAAAGUAAUUAUUGGAUCAGACCACUCCGAAGCAAAAACAAAACAGUGUGAUACUGGGA
Molecule: long non-coding RNA, 411 nt
Organism: Bubalus bubalis (water buffalo)
Lineage: Eukaryota; Metazoa; Chordata; Mammalia; Artiodactyla; Bovidae
Exons: 3
Source: RefSeq, a predicted model, not a curated record